AGAAUCUUCUCAAUACACAUGUUAACAUUUGUGUUUAGAAGAGAGUUAGUGCCGACUCAAUGGGUUAGGUGAGAUGCCGCUAGCAUUCAUUAUUGGGUAUCCAAUGUUGCUUCACCUUCACAUGCACCCUUAUCCGUAUCCUAUGCUUCCUUUGCUCUUGCAGCCCCUAUAUAUGCACUGUUACAAUCCUAAGGCAAACACACACUCUUUAGGGUUGGGGUUCUUACAUCCAUUUAGUCUAGUUGAAGAAAGUUGCUAUUGCAAUUGUUGUCUUACCCAUUCCUCCCAUCCCAUAAAUCUAUUAUAUGUACUCCAUCAUCAUAUGGAUCCACUCUUGUCUUAUGAUAAUAGAGUCGCAUGAUAGGAAUCUUGGAUCGGAGGAUUAGGUAAAACAACUAUUGCAUUAGGCUUUAUAAAUAAAUCAUUCUUUUAUUUGAUUUCUCAUCACCUUCAUCAGGUUUGCUUCUUACAACUUGGAUUCUUGAAGUAGGUAGAAAGAGUUUUGGUCACUCUUGAGUCAAAAUUAUAUACCCAUUUAGUUUAAAUUAGCUCUUGCAAAAAGCAUAAUUAUGAACAGAUUUGGUAUUGUUAAGAUUUGUAUGUUCUAAUUGUUUUUAAUGUUGUUUAUUAAUAUUUGAAAGAACAGGUUCUGCUUUUGUAGAAGUUGGUCUCAAACUAGAUCUACAAAAGAACUUAAUUAUAUGAGUUUUAGUAGUUAAUUAGUUGUAUUAUGAUGUGGUAUUGUGGUAAGACUGAGACAGUUAUAGUUGAAUAUCCAUUAAAAACCUUUUUACAUUGUCACAGAUUUACACCUAUUCCUCAUUCCUUGUUUUUUGUGUGUUUUCAAGAUCUUAUAUGUUUCUCUGGAUCAGUAAACUUUUGGAUCAAAAAUAUAUGACUAGUUAUUUUUGAUCUAUUUUAUAGAGGCCAAUGUGUGGUUUUUUCUUCUCUUUCUAUUCUGUUUAUAUGAAUCACUAUGUGCGACUUAUUUUUUAACAAUAGGCAAUGAUUGGUAAAAUUCUGCAAAGACCACUUUUUUUAAAACUAUAUUUAACCCAGUCUCUAUUGACUUAAAUCAAGAUGAGUCACACACUUUAAAAAUGGAUCUGACUUAAAGUGGUGGAACAUAGAUCGAUUUCAUCGAAUAAAAGAGUUGUUCAUAACAUUUCUCUGCAGCAAAUUGUUAGUUGAUAAUCAUUAUCAUGAGUGGUUGGAAACAAAUGUUGAUGAGUGAUGAUUUUGCUCUCUUGGUUAUCUUCUAGUUGCUGUUGAUGGUAUGUAGGUGUGAAACAAAAGAAAUUAGUCACUAUAAUUGCAUUUUGUUGAGAUUAUGCUGUGGUCAUGUGCUAUCAUGUUCUGUCUGAGGAUGGUUUGAUGGUUAUGUGUGCUUCUAGCCUUCUACUACCAAUGAAGCUUAUGUUGACAUGGAGUGUUGUGAAUCAACAAUGAAGGAAUAUCAAUAUGUAUAAUUGUUCAUUGUGUUGUAUAUAUAUAUAUAUAUAUAUAUAUAUAUAUAUAUGUAAUGAAGCAACGCAGAGUCAACUAAUAUGGUGUCAAGGAGAAAUUUAUGGACAUAUCAAUGUGGGCGAGUUUUAGCAAGGGGCAAUUGUCAAACUGCCCCAUCUUAGAUCAAUUUUGUUUUAUUUGCUAUUAGUUGUACAUCCUGUAUUUUUAUAUUUUAAUUUAUAGUCAUAUUCAUUUAUAAUAUAUCAGUUUUAAUUUUAAUUUAAUGGAGACUAAAAUAUUUUGAAGGGACAAAAA
Molecule: long non-coding RNA, 1761 nt
Filed under: Medicago truncatula (barrel medic)
Lineage: Eukaryota; Viridiplantae; Streptophyta; Magnoliopsida; Fabales; Fabaceae
Description: long non-coding RNA (MTRU_LNC003142)
Source: RNAcentral